This 4665-nucleotide unclassified non-coding RNA is filed under the name Leishmania donovani. RNAcentral's name for it is "gene:LdHU3.27.2790(CDS-product:hypothetical_prote in_conserved)". Lineage: Eukaryota; Euglenozoa; Kinetoplastea; Trypanosomatida; Trypanosomatidae. The record is from RNAcentral.
AGUCUUCUCGAGUCGGCGUGCUCACGAUCGCGCCGUGCGCCCCCACUGAGUUCGGCGUGUACGCACGCCAUGUGAGGAAAUAGGGCGAUGAGUGGCCCCGAUGAUGAUGCCGCCGCCGAAGCGCAGCGUAACGCGCGCCUGGAGACGAGCGAGGAUGGGAACGCAGAGGCACCUCCGCUGGUGGCGGCGUUCACCGCAGGAGCCGUAACAGGUGACUGGCGCCUGUUGCCGUUGCAUGUCCCUGGUGCGGCUGCUGUUGAUGGAACCACAUCUGCCGCCGUGCUGUCGUCUCCUCGCGAGCUGCUCGCACAUCGAGUGCUCGCGACGCAGUACUUCACGGCACCGGAGCGGACGCUGCCAGGCGAGGGUGUCUUCGGCUGCUCGCCUGAUCUUGACUCUGACAAGAACGGCAGGCUGUGCAGAGGAGGCAGUCGCAGCCUUAGCGGGUGCAGCAGUGACGACAUCUUUGAGAGAUGCGAGGGCGGCAUGCCCAAGACAGCUUCGUGGGCAGCCCCGACCGUUGCUUCUCGUCAGACCCUUGCCCCUGCCGCUGCCCGCGUCGACGCAUCACUUGAGCAGGCCGGACUCAUUGACAGUACUGCAGCUGCACACGUGCCCUUCCCGUCGACACUCACACUUGCGGAGCUGCAUGGCACCUCCUUAGCCUCGCCGCGCCUUCCAGGCGUCAACGCCAUCGCUGCGGCGCGGCGGGUGGCCACGUGGUCGGGAUCGUCGGCAGCAACAAGCACCACGCUGCCCCUACCGCCGCCGCCGCUGCCGAACGGCCUCGUUACCCCUGCGCGAGUCGUUUGGCAGGCCAACGAUGCCGUGGUAGAUAAUGAGCUGCCUGCUAGUGAUGCUGCAUUCACGUCGCCGUCAUCGCCACACUUGCCCACCGCCGCCACCGGAGGCGCUUCUCCGUUUGCAAGCGACGCUCGGCGUGCGACCUUUUCGAUCGCUGCAGUAGAAAGCAUAUCCACAGCACCGACCGCUUCCCCUCAUGGCGCUGUGCGCACACAAGCUCGUGCCUGUUGGCCAUUAUCCUCAGUUGUGCCAAAUCCUGAGCAAGGGCACUGGCAUACUGCGCCACCAUGUGAUGGUCGGCACCGCUGGGUGGCGCCUUUGCCUGCACAAGGCUUGCACGCCACCGGUGGGUGGGAGGUAGAGGAGGAGGUAUGGGAAGACAAUAUCUUCGAUGAAGGUGGCACUCUACGCGGGGCUGAGCUGUGUCUGUGGCUACCGCGUCGCGCAGCGGUGUGCUGUUUCGCGGCAGUUCUGUGGCUACGUCGUUUCCUAGGCAGGUGGGGCAUGUGCACGAUGAUCUGCCCUCCACUUGAUAGCGCAAGCGAGAGCGACGGCUACGACAGCGGCAGUGACACGGUCGCUAGCUCGGAGAGCGAGGCGGCAGGGCAGCGCUGUGCCACUGGAGGAACAGCGCAUCUUCUCAGCACGUGGCCGGAGAGGACAGCACUGGUUUACCGACCCUUGCUCUCCGGCUCUCCUACCACGCACUGGGGACGGCGGCAGUUGCAGAGGGCUGGCAUGGCGCACUCGCUGUGUUUUACAAGGGACGACGACCCAGGCAGUGCCAGCAGCGAAGAAGACACAAAUGGCGGUGCGUCAUCUUCGCUUUCAUUGUUGCCGGCACCAUCCUUCAUGCAGUCGCUGCCAGGCGCGACAACAGCGACCGGAAACCGAGGGCAUGGGGAGGGCGCCGGGGAGGGCCGCUGGCUGAGAGAGGCGGCUUCCGCGGACGCCGUGGUAUGGUCGCCAUCGUGCUUCUCGCUUCCUUGUUCUAUAAUAGGUGCGCUGCUGUGUCGAGGCUCUGUCGCCUGCUGCCGUGCGCUCAGUCGUACAGUGUCCUACUACAAUGUGUUUACUUCACAGCACGCGCCGGAGAUGCAGACGUACGAGGUAGGAGCACCCGAUACUGCGAACCGUCACGCGAUGCCUGGCUCGUCGGCGGCAUCACCACCCCCAGCAGAGCACUCGGCCGCGGCGGGGAUCUUCUCUGCAACGCCACUGCCACCUCUGCCGACGAAUGCACACUUGCUGAGGCAACCGUUACUGCUCGACAUCGCGUUCGUCGGCAAGGUGUAUGUGCUCUUGCAGUAUGUGGCGCUCGUACUACUGACCGCCACGGUGGUGCUGCUGGCCGUGUUCUCGUUCAAACGUUCUCGCGUGUCUCACGUGGAGGAUGCGACGGCGUGCAACCGCUACCCCUUCGCUAACGUUAUCCCACCCGACUUGGCCUUUAGUCUGAUCUGUUUUCUGCUCAACGGUGUCUUCGCCGUCCGCUACGCGGUGCGGGCAGUGCGCUACGAGAAGGGCGGCCUCCUCGUCGUGCAGGUCGUCGUUGUUGCGCUGCAGGUGUGCCGCGCUGUCUACUUUCUUCUCUUUGUGGCGCGACGCUGCAUGCGCGUGUCUUCCGUGUUGUUGUCGUCGCCGUUUUCACGGCCGCCUUGGCCGUCGCUGCGCGCUGGCACACGCGGCAGCAUCGCCAGCAUCUUCAGCAGCGGCAUUGCCACUUCUGGCAGCGAAGGCGCGUUUAUCGUCGAUGACCCUGCGCCGGCGGCUGGGUCGGUCUUGCAGCCACUCUUCACCCUCACCUGCGCCAGCGUUGCCACCAGUGUGUCGCUCUUUCUUGCCGCCUCAGUGCUGUCGCCGUGGGUGUACGCAAGUUUCGGCUGGCGGCGUUACGCGCAGGGCAUCGUUCAGGUUUCCUUGUCCCGCGUGCGGCAGAGGCUGACAGUGCUGCGGACGUGCGUGCAGCUGGACGGAGUCAUCACUGCAAACGCGUACCUUGCUACGGUGUUCUUGCUGGACAGCUGGCCGGAUCAACGGAUACUACUGCUGAUGACACUUGCCACCUUUGCGGUGCACUACUUCCUUAUCCCCAUGCUGCGGCGUUCGCGGCACUGGUGGCCCCUUCUGUGCGCUGCAGGUAUGCUGGUGACGGUGAGCGCCUACUACGCAGCCGUGAUUGGGGGUGCGCUCCGCAAGGACCACCGUCUGCAAUCUGUAUCCACCUCUCCCUGGUACAGCGACUGCUACACGGAUCGGCUGCGCAAGUGCCUCUAUGAGAUCUCUGCCGAAUAUCCAGUCAGCAUUUUCCGCGACGCAUCCGCCGUCCACAGUGAUGGCGACUUGCGCCUCUCCUACAACCAGCUUGAGCGAGCUCGGCGGCAGGCGCCGCUAGCGGCGGUUCGUCGACACGCCUCGCCGUUUGAUGCAGCGCACGGCGCACUAUGGCGACACGGCAGCCAAGACGCUCGUGUGAGUUCGGGGUUGACUUCGCCUUGCGUUGCGCUAGCUGUGCCUUCUCGAUCAGCGUUGCCAGUGCGGCGUGUGAACAAUGCGACGGACACGUACUUGCCCACCUACGGUGCUUACCCCGACUACUUCCGCAUACAGGGCUGCAACGCGACCUGCUUCCUUGCGCGCGAGGAGCGCGACAACAUUUUCUUUGAGCGGCGCAUCGCCAGCUGCUGCGCCGAGUACGGGCAGUGCCGGCUCAAGGAUGACUAUCGCACGUACGCGGUACUGCUGCUCUUGGUGCUGAUGCUCUGCUCCUCCGCUGUCCGGGUGGUUUUGUUUGCCGUUGCGUGGCGGAGAUGGGUGGAAGAGGAUGACGUGGCGAUUGACCUCUUUAUCCAGGCGCAUUGUCGCUGCCAUCAUCUCGGCGGGAACUGUCGGCAGCGCCGGUAUCCGCGUCAAGAGCAUGUGCAUCGCCACAGACGUGCUGCUGCUGCUGCUGUGGGUGGCAGUGACCCUAUUUCCCAAUCACCGCGUAGGCCACAUGCGUCGCACGACGUCACCUUUUCAGCGUCCCCGCUGCCGACGCAGAACCUUCCGUGGGAUGUGGAGCAGUAUGUCGCAUGGAGACAGCAGCAGUGCACUGCCGAGAGUACGAUCUGACGGGAGCACGGGCAAUCUUGGUGAGGGGGCCGGGAGAUGACACUCUCUCGCUCUUCUGAUGGGCGGCGGGCGGUGCGAGAACGCGCCGAUGGCGACUUGCGGAACAAGAAGAGGAGACACGGAAUGGGGCGAAGCGAAACGGAAAGGGACGGCCGCCGGCCAUCGCGCGAUUCGAGUAGCCUCUCCGCUGGCACCUCUCCGCUGGCACCUCUCCGCUGGCACCUCUCCGCUGGCACCUCUUCCCUUGCCCCUUCCAUCUGUUGCCCCCCCUCCCCCUUCUCCCGUAUCUUUGUCGUCCCUCCCGCCUCCCAGUCUUCGCUUCUCGUACCUUUCACGUCGCACUCCAACCAUCACCGCUCCGCGCUCACAUGCGUUUCACCUUAUAUAUUAUUCAUGCUUGCUUGCGUAUGGCGCGCUGCUGCUGCUCUGUUUCUCUCGUGAGGAUACAGAGGCUGCGCAAGUCCUGACGCAACCACUCUUCCACCUUCUCUUCAUCCAGUAUCUAUGCGUGCUUAUGUGUUGACCGCAUGUACGCCAGCGCCCCUCCCCCUUCUUCACCCCACCAUGGCGUUCCCUUAGUUUGGGUGCACUGUUGGUGUUCAACCGCACGCAUCCACAGCAGCCACUGCACCUCCCCCCCUGCCUGCCGCGUCGUCGCACUUCACAUCCUCUUGCCCCUCUUUCUCCUCCCUUCAUCUCUUUCACUUGUCGUUUGUGUUUUGCUCGUGCCGUGACCUUGCGUGAAAG